UGAAUUAUGUGUAUGAUGCAUUGU
Molecule: non-coding RNA, 24 nt
Filed under: Arabidopsis thaliana (thale cress)
Lineage: Eukaryota; Viridiplantae; Streptophyta; Magnoliopsida; Brassicales; Brassicaceae
Source: RNAcentral